Panicum virgatum (switchgrass) is the source of this 3167-nucleotide long non-coding RNA. RefSeq lists it as uncharacterized. The transcript is spliced from 3 exons. Lineage: Eukaryota; Viridiplantae; Streptophyta; Magnoliopsida; Poales; Poaceae. The record is from RefSeq and is a predicted model, not a curated record.
GCGCCCCGGCGAUGUCCCGGCUCUUCGUGUUGCCUAUCGCUGGUCGCCGGUGGGUUUCGACCGACAACAAGAAGCCAUGAGAAGCAUGAAUUCAUCCAAGUGGACUGCAGCCAUGGAAGAUGAAAUGAAAUCUAUGAGUGCCAAUAAAGUUUUGGGACUUAGAAAAAAUUCCUAAAGGAGCCAAAACAGUAGGCUGCAAAUGGGUCUACAAGACGAAAUGUGACUCCAAAGAGAACGUAGAAAAAUUUAAAGCGCGACUUGUGGUGAAAGGCUUCACGAAAAGAGAAGAGAUAGAUUACAAUGAGACAUUUUCACGAUCUCAUGUAAAGAUUCUUUUAGAAUAAUUAUGGCCUUAGUCAUUAUGAUCUAGAAUUACAUCAGAUGGAUGUGAAGACGACAUUCCUGAAUGGGGAUUUAUAUGAAAAUUUUUACAUGGCACAGCCGAAAGGUUUUGUCAUGGAAGGCAAUGAAAACUUAGGGUGCCGCCUGAAGAAAUCGAUUUAUGGCUUGAAGCAAGCCUCAAGGCUGUGGUAUUUGAAAAUUGAUGAAACAAUAGGAAAGUUUGGAUUUAAAGAAAAUGAAGAGGACAAUGGCAUUUAUGCAAAGUUCAAGAACGGAAAAUUCAUUUUCCUCAUCUUGGAUGUGAAUGACAUUCUGCUAGCUAGCAGUGAUGUUGAUCUACUACCGGAGACAAAGAAAUUCUUGUCCUCGAAGUUUGAUAUAAAAGAUCUCGGUGAAGCUUCAUUCAUUUUAGGAAUUAAGAUUCACUGAGACAGAAGAAAUGGGAUGUUAGCAUUAUCACAGAAGGCAUACCUAGAAAAGAUAUUAAACAAAAUAUGGUAUGCAUAUGAGCAAACCCACACCUGCUCCAAUAGCCAAGAGCGACAGUUUCAGGAAAUAUUAGUGUCCCAAGAACAAGUACGAGCUCGAAUAAAUGAAGGCAGUGCCUUGUGCUUUAGCUGUUGGAAGCUUACAGUAUGCACAAAUGUGCACACACCCUGACUUGAGUUUUGUUACCGGAAUACUUGGCAGAUACCAGAGUGAUCCAGGCAUAGAGCACUAGAAAAUGGUAAAGAAAACUUUACGCUAUGUGAAGGGUACAACAGGCCUCAUGCUGACAUAUACAAAAACAGAAUCAUUAGAAAUAGAAGGAUAUUCAGAAUCAGACUUUGCAGGAGAUGCGGAUGAUAGAAAAAUCCACGUCUGGAUAUAUCUUCACUCUUGUAAAAGGGAGCGAUAUCUUGGAAAAGCUCCAAGCAGUCAGUCAAAACAUCAUCCAUGAUGUAUGCUGAAUUUGUAGCAUGUUAUGAGGCCUCAGGGCAGGUCACAUGGCUUAAGAAAUUAGUACCCGGAUAGAAAGUGGUCGACAGCGUAGAAAAACCACUGAAAUUAUACUGUGGCAACAAGCCAGCAGUAUUUUGUGCUCAUAACAACAAGUCGAGUGGUGCUGCCAAACACAUCGACAUUAAAUUUUAUGUUGUUAUGGAGCAGGUCCAAGAUCAAAUGAUUUGUCUAGAACAUGUCAGAACAAGCAAGAUGUUAGCGGAUCCGCUUACAAAAGGCCUACCACCCAAAGUGUUCAAAGAACACUUAGCCGGCAUGGGUUUAAGGGAAAGCCUAUGAUUCUUGGACAAAGAUAGCCCAAGAAUAAGACUCUGUUCCAGACCGGAAAGGUUAACGUGGCUGUCAAUCUGACGGUAAUAACUGUCAUGACGAGUCACGCCCUAUACACUGAUCUGCGAUGGGAUGGACCAAAUUCAGAUACAGAACAAGAAUAAGAACAAUGAGGGAUCAAGGGGGAGAAUGUUGGAGUUGAUCUCCACGGGCCCGAUCCAAAGAUCGGGCCGGACCCCUUGAACACGCCCUGAUCGGGGGCGUCCAGCCCAUAUGGCUGGUGGGCCCCCGUCGCUCGCGCUAUAUAGAACGGGAGAGGGGCCGGGGCACGCGACACGAGAUUCACCACAGCCACAACCCUCUCCCACAUCCCUACCGAUCUAGGGUUUGCGCGAGGCCGACGGGAAGCUCCGCCAGCGUCCUCUCUACUCCACCACGACGACCGGAUCCGCCACAGUGCCGGUGGAGGGCCGGAGGGUUUCCGCUACCCAUGUCGACCACCGUCGCCGCCGGACCCGCGCCUCGACGGCCCGAGCUCCUCUGCGCCAUCAGCGCCAUGGCCUCCGCCUCCUCUGCACCACCCGCCGCUGAUGGUCUACGCCUCCUCACCUCUCUCUCUCUCUUGUAGUAGAUGAAGGAUGAACAACUUGUUUCACUACUCAGAAUGUUUCCCCAUACCCGAUUUGUUUGCCUAGAAUAGAUCUUGUACAGAAUCUCAGAAAGAUUGAACCUAACACCAAGGAGAGGACGCGCACAAGAUCGCUCAUAUUCCAGAGGUCACAUUAGAGUAGCUGAUGGUUAAUUCCCACAUCAUCAAUUACGUGUCAAGAUCUAGCAUGGUUGGUCGUUGUUGUUGGGCCGGCGGGAGGAUAUAUAGCAAGAUCUGCUUCAUUCGGAACGGAGGGCAAAGCCUUGCCAAACUCUGAAGAAAAUGGAUGAUGGGUAAAUAUAUUAUGUGCUCAUUGUAAACUAGUCGUAUUAUGUGUUCAUAGACAAGCCGAAGUUUGUCUGGGUGAAGCAAACGCUGUCGUGCUGCCUUCCACGACUGGAUAUGCUUGGGACACGCAUUAUGCAAUUGUAUAGUGCUUGCACAGUUACAUGCCUGCAUUAGCUUGUACCUCAUGGCUGCAACUGCAAACAUUCCGGACCCAUUUUCGGUUAUUAGCAGGCUAUCCCAUUAAUUACCUGCAGCCCACAUUUUCUUGCGACCCCGCGAACGGCGUCAGCAUGCUGCGCAACGGCGGCGCUGUGAAGCUUUUCUAGUGUUGCCGUGCAUGCAGUCGGCAGUCACAGCAACACCAGCCUGUGUGGCUCACCGUGAUUUCAACCAGUUUGCAUGAGUUUCUUCUCUUCAAUAUAAAGACCAGUUUGCAUGAAUGGAGCGAGAGACAAGGCGAAGGUUGAGAAGAAUUGAGAUGAUCUUCGGUCCGUCUGAUUCUUAUCUGGGCGUGUUGCUUGUUCCUUCUACUUUCUGCCAUGUUGGUUUAAUUAAGCAAUUUGUUGAGCUAGCUGCGCAUUCCCAGAGAAGUUUUACACAAUACCACUCUGUAAUA